This 495-nucleotide ribosomal RNA is filed under the name uncultured bacterium. RNAcentral's name for it is "partial 16S ribosomal RNA". It matches the Rfam family "Bacterial small subunit ribosomal RNA", at positions 28 to 507 of the family's 1533-position model. The record is from RNAcentral.
GACGAACGCUGGCGGCGUGCCUAAUACAUGCAAGUAGAACGCUGAAGGAGGAGCUUGCUUCUCUGGAUGAGUUGCGAACGGGUGAGUAACGCGUAGGUAACCUGCCUGGUAGCGGGGGAUAACUAUUGGAAACGAUAGCUAAUACCGCAUAAGAGUAGAUGUUGCAUGACAUUUGCUUAAAAGGUGCAAUUGCAUCACUACCAGAUGGACCUGCGUUGUAUUAGCUAGCUGGUGGGGUAACGGCUCACCAAGGCGACGAUACAUAGCCGACCUGAGAGGGGGAUCGGCCACACUGGGACUGAGACACGGCCCAGACUCCUACGGGAGGCAGCAGUAGGGAAUCUUCGGCAAUGGACGGAAGUCUGACCGAGCAACGCCGCGUGAGUGAAGAAGGUUUUCGGAUCGUAAAGCUCUGUUGUAAGAGAAGAACGAGUGUGAGAGUGGAAAGUUCACACUGUGACGGUAUCUUACCAGAAAGGGACGGCUAACUACGUG